GCGAGAUUGUGCCACUGUACUCCAGCCUGGCGACAGAGCGAGACUCCAUCUCAAAAAAAUAAAAUAAAAUAAACAAACAACAACAAAAAAGAUAGUAAAUAAAGAGCCCCCACUCAGCAAAGCUUCUAGCAGUACCCUUUGCAAAGAUGUCUUCUCUCAAAGGCAUUUAUUAUCCAUUUUUAAACAACUAAUGCUACGUUUCUAACAUCUGUAAUCACCAGUGACCAUUCCUCUAAUUUUUUGCCCUGUGUUAUUUUAUUUAUUUAAUGCUCCAGCACUAACACUGCCUUCCCCUCCGGCUUCCCCACUGUGGUUGGGCGGCUGUCCUUAACUUUCUUCUUUUGGACUUCAUUCCAUCAGGUCACAGGCAAGACUAAACCAACAGCAGUAGAGACCUGCUGUCUUAGCAGAGACAGAAAAAGAAAUUCUUUUACUGGGAAGCAAGGGAUAUUUCUAACUCAGCAUUCCCUGCUGGGUAGCUGUCAGCUCCGUCUGGAAAUGGUGAAAGUUACUGAUCAGAAUAACAAGUAAUAAUUUCUUGGUAAUCUUCCCCUCUGUGAAGGGAAAAACAAUAAAUGUUUCUCUGUAGUUACAACACACUUGUUUAUCCAUUUAUUUAUCCAAAUGGCUUGGGAGUCUCAGAGGAGCCUGACAUUUGAUGGUGCCAAAGCUCUAUCCAUCCUUAGCCCUUUCUCCAUGAAACCUUCCCAGCUGUGAUCUGACUCUUUUUUCU
Molecule: long non-coding RNA, 733 nt
Filed under: Homo sapiens (human)
Lineage: Eukaryota; Metazoa; Chordata; Mammalia; Primates; Hominidae
Description: HSALNT0070062
Source: RNAcentral